CUGAGAAGCCCCAUCUCCUUCUCACUAGAGCCUCCAGCAGAGCAUGGCUGUCCUGGUGCUGCUCCUCUGCCUGGUGACCUUUCCAAGCUGUGCCCUGUCCCAGGUGCAGAUGAAGGAGUCAGGACCUGGCCUGGUGCAGCCCUCACAGACCCUGUCCCUCACCUGCACUGUCUCUGGGUUCUCAUUAACUGGCUAUAGUGUACACUGGGUCCGCCAGCCUCCAGGAAAGGGUCUGCAGUGGAUGGGAGUAAUGUGGAGUGGUGGAAGUACAGAUUAUAAUUCAGCUCUCAAAUCCCGAGUCACCAUCAGCAGGGACACCUCCAAGAGCCAAGUUUUCCUAAAACUGAACAAUCUACAAACUGAGGACACAGCCACUUAUUACUGUGCCAGAGACACAGUGAGGGAACUCCAGUGUGAGCCUGCACAAAAACCUCCCUAUAGAGAUACUGAUGACCUGCAGGGGGUGCAGGGCCCACAAGAUCUCUCACAACCAGUAUGGGGUUUCUUCAGAAGAUAG
Non-coding RNA from Peromyscus leucopus (white-footed mouse), 517 nucleotides. The record is from the annotation of a RefSeq genome assembly. Lineage: Eukaryota; Metazoa; Chordata; Mammalia; Rodentia; Cricetidae.